GGUAAACACAACCCACCUCAAAACGCGUUCCGAUUGCUUGUAGUCACUUACAAUCGGCCUCCCGCGACACCCGUGACCCGGUUCGGCCCGAACUCUCGCGCGACCACCCGAACGGCCACCAAUCCGCGAUCCAUCUGUUCUCGAGUUUAUUCCUCGAUACCACGAUGCUCCAGAUCCGAUCUCGUGAUUUUUAGACAUCUAUUCCGCGU
Molecule: long non-coding RNA, 209 nt
Filed under: Ananas comosus (pineapple)
Lineage: Eukaryota; Viridiplantae; Streptophyta; Magnoliopsida; Poales; Bromeliaceae
Description: long non-coding RNA (ACOM_LNC017933)
Source: RNAcentral